This 449-nucleotide ribosomal RNA is filed under the name uncultured bacterium. RNAcentral's name for it is "partial 16S ribosomal RNA". It matches the Rfam family "Bacterial small subunit ribosomal RNA", at positions 339 to 795 of the family's 1533-position model. The record is from RNAcentral.
CUACGGGGCGCUGCAGUGGGGAAUAUUGCGCAAUGGGCGAAAGCCUGACGCAGCAACGCCGCGUGAGUGAUGAAGGCCUUCGGGUCGUAAAGCUCUGUCGGGAGGGAAGAACACCUUCGGGUCUGACGGUACCUCCCGAGGAAGCACAGGCUAACUCCGUGCCAGCAGCCGCGGUAAUACGGAGUGUGCAAGCGUUGUUCGGAAUUACUGGGCGUAAAGCGCGCGUAGGCGGCUUGAUAAGUCAGAUGUGAAAUCCCUCGGCUUAACCGAGGAACUGCAUUUGAAACUGUCAGGCUUGAGUACGGGAGGGGGAAGCGGAGUUCCCAGUGUAGAGGUGAAAUUCGUAGAUAUUGGGAGGAACACCAGCGGCGAAGGCGGCUUCCUGGACCGAUACUGACGCUGAGGCGCGAAAGCGUGGGGAGCAAACAGGAUUAGAUACCCGAGUAGUC